CCUACGGGAGGCAGCAGUAGGGAAUCUUCCGCAAUGGACGCAAGUCUGACGGAGCAACGCCGCGUGAGUGACGAAGGUUUUCGGAUCGUAAAACUCUGUUGUGAGGGAAGAACACGUACCAACUAACUAUUGGUACCUUGACGGUACCUCACCAGAAAGCCACGGCUAACUACGUGCCAGCAGCCGCGGUAAU
This 193-nucleotide ribosomal RNA is filed under the name uncultured bacterium. RNAcentral describes it as "partial 16S ribosomal RNA". It matches the Rfam family "Bacterial small subunit ribosomal RNA", at positions 338 to 524 of the family's 1533-position model. The record is from RNAcentral.